AUCCAGCUGACGAGUCCCAAAUAGGACGAAACGAAACUGGAU
This 42-nucleotide non-coding RNA is filed under the name Schistosoma margrebowiei. Lineage: Eukaryota; Metazoa; Platyhelminthes; Trematoda; Strigeidida; Schistosomatidae. The record is from RNAcentral.